RNAcentral lists this ribosomal RNA (497 nucleotides) under uncultured bacterium. Its description in RNAcentral is "partial 16S ribosomal RNA". It matches the Rfam family "Bacterial small subunit ribosomal RNA", at positions 28 to 507 of the family's 1533-position model. The record is from RNAcentral.
GAUGAACGCUGGCGGCGUGCCUAAUACAUGCAAGUCGAGCGAACAGACGAGAAGCUUGCUCCUCUGAUGUUAGCGGCGGACGGGUGAGUAACACGUGGAUAACCUACCUAUAAGACUGGGAUAACUUCGGGAAACCGGAGCUAAUACCGGAUAAUAUUUUGAACCGCAUGGUUCAAAAGUGAAAGACGGUCUUGCUGUCACUUAUAGAUGGAUCCGCGCUGCAUUAGCUAGUUGGUAAGGUAACGGCUUACCAAGGCAACGAUGCAUAGCCGACCUGAGAGGGUGGUCGGCCACACUGGAACUGAGACACGGUCCAGACUCCUACGGGAGGCAGCAGUAGGGAAUCUUCCGCAAUGGGCGAAAGCCUGACGGAGCAACGCCGCAUGAGUGAUGAAGGUCUUCGGAUCGUAAAACUCUGUUAUUAGGGAAGAACAUAUGUGUAAGUAACUGUGCACAUCUUGACGGUACCUAAUCAGGAAGCCACGGCUAACUACGUG